GCUCAGAUCUCCUGAAUAAAUCCGACUUUAAUUAACUUAAUUAAGGUCCAUCAAAUUAAUCGAGGUUUGCGGAGGCCGGAGUGGAGUGCGUGAGCCGCGGCCGGACGGUCACCACGCCCCGGGCGGCUAAAUGGAUCGACGGAGGAUAAAAUCAUUAAAAGAUGCGGAGAAACACAUCACCAGCUCCACUGACAAGACCCAUUCACUGGAAACCGAUUAUAUAGAAGGUUACUAAGUUUUGCGGCAUUGAUGCCGCUCAUGUGGACGGGACCCUCGGCCGGCUGGUGAAUGAUAACCAUCUGCACCCAAACUGCACUGUCAAUAAGAUUGUUGUUCAGAGAAUACCUCAUUUGUGCCUUUUUGCAAUCAGGGACAUUUUCCCUGGAGAGGAAAUAACUUUUGACUAUGGCGCAUGUGAUUGGCCUUGGAGAAAGCUUUCAUUGAAGGAUAACCAUAUGACUGCAGAAGAGAACUGCUCCCACAACUCUCUGAUGAGCUGUUAUUGAAGAAUGACCAAAUGACAGAACUGCUCUGCUCCAGUAGGAGGCCCACAACUCUCUGAUGAGCUUUUAUUGAAGAAUGACCAAAUGACAGAAAGAGAGAACUGCUCUGCUCCACUAGGAGUCCAACAACUCUCUGAUGAGCUUUUAUUGAAGAAUGACCAAAUGACAGAACUGCUCUGCUCCAGUAGGAGUCCCACAACUCUCUGAUGAGCUUUUAUUGAAGAAUGACCAUAUGACACAAGAGAGAAGUACUCCGCUCCAGUAGGAGUCCAACAACUCUCUGAUGAGUGGAGAAAGUUACAGUGGAUCGUGUUUUUGGAGGAGGUGAAGUCCAAUCUAAAAGAGUCCCCUCAAGUAUCAUCACCAUGGUACAGUGUCUGUGAAGAUAGUGAAGCAGACCCAGCAUUCACAAAAAAAGAGAGGUCCCAUAAGGAGAAGACCCUGGAGCAAACAGGAAGUACAUGCUGUGGUGAAAGCUGAACCAUUAGUUCUAAAAACCAGAGAUUGGUCAG
Danio aesculapii is the source of this 1015-nucleotide long non-coding RNA. RefSeq lists it as uncharacterized. The record is from RefSeq and is a predicted model, not a curated record. Lineage: Eukaryota; Metazoa; Chordata; Actinopteri; Cypriniformes; Danionidae. The transcript is spliced from 11 exons.